RNAcentral lists this ribosomal RNA (331 nucleotides) under uncultured bacterium. RNAcentral's name for it is "bacterial SSU rRNA". It matches the Rfam family "Bacterial small subunit ribosomal RNA", at positions 1056 to 1387 of the family's 1533-position model. The record is from RNAcentral.
CAGCUCGUGUCGUGAGAUGUUGGGUUAAGUCCCGCAACGAGCGCAACCCUCGCCUUCAGUUGCCAGCGGGUUGGGCCGGGCACUCUGAAGGAACUGCCGGUGACAAGCCGGAGGAAGGUGGGGAUGACGUCAAGUCCUCAUGGCCCUUAUGUCCUGGGCUACACACGUGCUACAAUGGCGGUGACAGUGGGAGGCCAGGCCGCGAGGCCGCGCCGAUCCCGAAAAGCCGUCUCAGUUCAGAUUGCACUCUGCAACUCGGGUGCAUGAAGGCGGAAUCGCUAGUAAUCGCGGAUCAGCAUGCCGCGGUGAAUACGUUCCCGGGCCUUGUACA